Molecule: RNase P RNA, 324 nt
Filed under: Campylobacter novaezeelandiae
Lineage: Bacteria; Pseudomonadati; Campylobacterota; Epsilonproteobacteria; Campylobacterales; Campylobacteraceae
Description: ribonuclease P, RNA component
Rfam family: Bacterial RNase P class A
About the family: Ribonuclease P (RNase P) is a ubiquitous endoribonuclease, found in archaea, bacteria and eukarya as well as chloroplasts and mitochondria.
Source: RNAcentral
AAAGCAUAGCGAAUGCUCGCUUCAUUAUCUCAAAUGAAGAGGAAAGUCCGAGCUGCAAAAGACAAGAAUUCCAUCUAACGGAUGGCUAGGGUGACCUAAGGGACAGUGCAACAGAAAACAAACUACCACAAAAAGUGGAAAAGGUGAAAAGGUGAGGUAAGAGCUUACCAGCGAUUUUAGUAAUAAUUUCGGCUUUGUAAACCCAAUUCGCAGCAAGAAGGGAUGGUUUAAGUCUUUAAUUGAACCCUUCGCUUGAUUUUGUUUGUAAAAACAAAACUAGAUAAAUGAGCAUUUAAAACAGAACUCGGCUUAUAGCUAUGCUUU